CUACCACUUCAGCUGAAUCGUUACUGGCCGUACAUUCAGUAAGGGUCAUCUGUCAGGAGAUAUUUAAGUAGACUGGGUAAUAUUCCCCAUGUUUCAUACUUCCAGAAACCGUCAUUUUUCUACUUGCAUAUUUUAUGUUGAACAACCAAAACACCAGAGUACCUGACUGUUCCGUUAUAAGGCCAUUAAGCUCUCGCAUGAUAUCUAUGAAAAUAUCAGACAAGCAACUAGAAAUUCAAGAGUUGGGAAAAUAUUUUAUUUA
Molecule: non-coding RNA, 262 nt
Organism: Pelobates cultripes (western spadefoot toad)
Lineage: Eukaryota; Metazoa; Chordata; Amphibia; Anura; Pelobatidae
Source: the annotation of a GenBank genome assembly